This 429-nucleotide ribosomal RNA is filed under the name Chloroflexota bacterium. RNAcentral's name for it is "Chloroflexi bacterium partial 16S ribosomal RNA". It matches the Rfam family "Bacterial small subunit ribosomal RNA", at positions 355 to 776 of the family's 1533-position model. The record is from RNAcentral. Lineage: Bacteria; Bacillati; Chloroflexota.
UGGGGAAUAUUGCACAAUGGGCGCAAGCCUGAUGCAGCCAUGCCGCGUGUAUGAAGAAGGCCUUCGGGUUGUAAAGUACUUUCAGCGGGGAGGAAGGGAGUAAAGUUAAUACCUUUGCUCAUUGACGUUACCCGCAGAAGAAGCGCCGGCUAACUCCGUGCCAGCAGCCGCGGUAAUACGGAGGGUGCAAGCGUUAAUCGGAAUUACUGGGCGUAAAGCGCACGCAGGCGGUUUGUUAAGUCAGAUGUGAAAUCCUCGGGCUCAACCUGGGAACUGCAUCUGAUACUGGCAAGCUUGAGUCUCGUAGAGGGGGGUAGAAUUCCAGGUGUAGCGGUGAAAUGCGUAGAGAUCUGGAGGAAUACCGGUGGCGAAGGCGGCCCCCUGGACGAAGACUGACGCUCAGGUGCGAAAGCGUGGGGAGCAAACAGG